AUGGAGUUUGCACUUGGCUGGGUUUUCCUUGUUGCUCUUUUAUAAGGUGCCCAGUCUGAGGUGCAGCUGGUGGUGCUUGGGGAGAACUGGUAAAGCCUGGAGGGUCCCUGAGACUCUCCUGUGCUGCCUCUGGAUUCACUUUCAGUGACUAUGGCAUGAGCUGGGUCUGCUAGCCUCCAGGGAAGGGGUUGCAGUGGGUCGCAGCUAUUAGCUAUGAUGGAAGUGGCAUGUAUUAUGCAGACUCUGUGAAGGGCCGAUUCACCAUCUCCAGAGACAACAGCAAGAACACGCUGUAUCUGCAGAUGAACAGCCUGAGAGCCGAGGACAGGGCCGUGUAUUACUGUGCCAGUGACACAGUGAGGGGACGUCAGUAUCCUCCUCUGGCUGCUGCUUCCAAGCCUGUGCCUUCAGAGCUGCUGGUCAUUAAACCAAUGAUUCCUGAUACUUACAGCAACGCGGCUGUAAACUCUAGAACAAGCAAAAUCAUUCUGUCCCCAUUACAGGAGGGGUUCCACUUUCCUCAUGAGCCUGCCCACUCUGUCCCAAGGAGGGUGUCAGGGAUGCAGCACAGGACUGUGGAAGGAGCACCACCUUAUAUCCUGGGGCUCACUCUCACCCCAUAA
Odobenus rosmarus divergens (Pacific walrus) is the source of this 623-nucleotide non-coding RNA. NCBI's taxonomy places the organism in Eukaryota, Metazoa, Chordata, Mammalia, Carnivora, Odobenidae. The record is from the annotation of a RefSeq genome assembly.